This 6552-nucleotide long non-coding RNA is filed under the name Triticum aestivum (bread wheat). RNAcentral's name for it is "long non-coding RNA (TAES_LNC004179)". Lineage: Eukaryota; Viridiplantae; Streptophyta; Magnoliopsida; Poales; Poaceae. The record is from RNAcentral.
CCAGGGAUACUCAAUAAUUCAAAUAAUGCAAAUGGUUAGUCCAUAAUAAUAGUAAUCAUAAUCGUCACAUGUCACAAGUCAUAAUCCAAGUUCUGGUUUAACAGUUUUUCCUCCGAAGACCGACACUAAGACCGACACUUGACCCAUCCCAAACUGUAGUCCUUAACCAUGGACACGGCUAUUCGAAUAGAGGUAUAAUCUCUGCAGAGGGUGUACUCUUUACCCACGGGUAACGGAUUUCUUUAGUCCGUCGGCACUAAUUCCGUCUACGGUCUUUUAAUUGAAAACACGCCUGACCUGCACACACCAGCUUAACUUACCGGUGUCUGGAAUCACCCACGACACCUGUCAAGCGAAACUCUAAGUGGGGAGGCUACAACCUCGACGUAGCAUGGGAUCACAAAAUUUAUACCGCGCGCAAACUAGGGGAGCUACCCCUUCGGUUACAACCGAAACACCCAUGCCCCCGGACCGGAUGACUGGCUUUAAUCCAUGGCCAUGGGACCCUCAUCACGGCCUCUCUGUACGGUGUGUGCUAGAAAGGGGUUGACAACUUACUGAACCGUACCCUACCUAUGGCAGGGACAAGUGGUAGUACGAAGCAAGUGUGGGGGUUACUGGACAAGACUCGAUCUAAGGCCGACUCAGGAGGUUCAAGUGUUCCCUGCAUGAUUAGCAUAACAAAAAUAUUCCAAUAACAGAUAAGCUUAACACUCAUCAAGCUCCACCAUGCCAUACCGGGCAUACUCGUCUCAACGAGGGACUAGGGACAAGCUCGCGUCUACCCAAGACCGCGACUUUCCCGACUUCCUUCCGGCAUGCAUGAGAAGCUUACGAGGACGAUCACUAUCACCAGCAUAUCCAUUUAUAACAGCAAGGAAAACUCCAUUUUUCACUCAUGCGUAUGAUCUUACCGUCACAUAAAAUAGCGUAUGCUCCAAGUCAAGGUGAUGUUGUAACCGUAUCAACAACAUCCAAAAAUAUUAAGCCAGGGUUCAGAAUGCUUGCCUUCAAGUGUAUGCAUGUGGGGGUGCACUUUUUGAAGGUUGCCUUUUCUCCAAAAUCCUAUUUUGAGAAAUAUUCAAAUAACACACAUUUCAAAUACAGUACAAAAAGUUGUCCCAAAUAUUUUUGAAAUAAAUCUUAAAAUAAACUAGAUGAAAUUUGAGAGAGGUAGGAAAAAGAAUCAGCUCAUUUGGAGUUUUAUUUUAAAAGAUAUAGCCAGUCAAAGUUCUGUUUUUAAUAAAAUCAGAAAAAGAAAACGCUUCGGGGAGAAUACGCUUUCGAAGCAGAGGAGACGUACUCGGGAUUUUGCGCCAUCACUUAACCAGAGUGGAUGGGCGCGCGGGUCGCUGACAGUGGGUCCAGGGGGCCCACUGGUCAGGUUUGACUGGUCUUCCCUCCCUCCUCUCUCUCUGCCCGAACGGUGGCGGGCCUCCGGUGAUCGCCGUCGACGAACGGCGGCUCUUCGAGGGCACCUGAGGGCAGGGAUGGACCCGCCAGACCUGGGCGGUCCUCCCGGUGGUCGUUGGGCAGGUGGGGACGGAGGAAGUCACCGGCGGCGAGCUCCGCGGCGGACGGUGGUUCGGGAGCAAAGAGGGCUUCGGGCUAUGGUGGUCCUUGGUCGAGGCUGAGGCGCUAGGCAGCUCCGCAAGACUGUGGGGAGACGUUUGGUGGCGUUGGAUAGGCGGGGGAGGGUCCGGUUGCGACGCAUGGCACCGAGCUCGGCGGCGGCCGAACUGGCCGGAGACUAGGAAGGAAGCCCUUCCCCAUCGAUUGCUGGCUGCGGGAGUACUAUGGGGGUGUCCUGGGGUUGCCUGAGUGCUCAGAGGAGCUCGGGGCCUCCUUAUAUAGGCGCGACGGGGCUGGCUCCGCGGUGGUGGAUAAGAACGACGGCGAGUCGCCGUUCUGUAGCUGCAGGGCGUCGUGGCGGCGACGAGCGCGAGCCGACGAGCAUGUGGAUAGGAUCGGGCUGUUCCCAGGGGGCAGCUGGCGCGCGCGGGUGGCUUGGGCCGCGCCGUCCAUGGCAGAGCCCGCUGCCGACGCCGGCGUGCCGCCAAGGAAGCUCUGACGGCGGCGCUGUAGGGCGCCAGGGAGGCUUGGAGGUUUCUGACGAGUGGGCGAGUGCAUGGCGCGGCUCUGCAGGCGAGCAAGGGCCAGGGGUGUGACGCGGCGACCCGUGCGCACGCACGUGCAAAACGCGUGCUCUGGCCGCGCCCAGAGCACGCACACCAGGUGUUCGACGAAAAGCCAGCGCGCUCUAGAGAGCUUGGGUGAUGCGGGUAGUCAACAGGCCAGGGUUAGGGAUAGCUAGGAGGUUUGUGGACAUGCUGGAUGGGUCAGGGGCUCAAGUCCACAAUGCAAACUAGAAGACCUGCCAAAACUGUUCCUGCACACAGGGUGUUCUACAGAAUGCCAUGGGCAUCUAGGCAACUCUUGGGGUGGCCAAACUCUCCAGAUCCUAGUCUCUUUAGGAGCUCAAGAAGGUGGUAAGGUUAGUUUGGCAAAAACAGGAACUUGUUAGUGCAAGUUUUGAGAAAAUCAGUUUUGGGCAGAAACUAAAGGCUAUCAUUGCAUGCACUAAACAUACUCCAAUGGGUCCAAUCUCCUGGACUUAAGUGUUUGGUAGGGAGGACUAUAAGUAGGGAAAAAGCUGAUGGGUACUAGAGCAAAAUAAAAUGGGGUUGCAGUACAAAUCACCAAACUGGACCAGAAUGGAAAUGAAGAUGUUUCACUCAAAUCUUUCAUAGAACAACACUGGGUUUUUGCAUGAAGUUGCAUUAUGAGCAUCUACUGACAUCUCCAAACCCUUGGAAGAAUUUUUAGAAGAAUAUUUAAAUAGGUUGUAGUGCAAAAAUACCUACUGGACCAGAUUUGAAAAAAUUGAUGUAGAGCUCAAAUCUCCAAUAACCCAAAGAUAUUUUUGCAUAAAAGUGAUGUGGAAGCCUCACAUGACCUCCCCAAAUUUUGGUGAAAAUUUUAAAUGUAUUUAUCAAAAGGUUGCAGUGAAAAAGGGGCUCCAAAUUUAUGAAAGAUCAUUUUAAAAGAAUCAAGCUCAUGAAAAACAAUUAUGCAAAUAAAUCCACUGAUAAAGAAUUGUUUUUAUAAAGAGUGCAUACAAGUCCAAUAAUACUUUUGAAGAGUUUCCACUAAAGGUAAAAACCCACGAUAUUAAAGAGAAGAGGGGUUCUGAAAUCAAAGGAGAAAUCCAGAAAAAUAAAAAUUUAAUUUCCUGGCAAAAUUUUAAUUAAUAAAACAAGGUCAAAUUUUUGGGGUGUUACAACACUACCCCCCUUAAGAAAAAUCUCGUCCUCGAGAUUUGCUAAGGGUUGUUUUUUUUAAAUAAUACUCCCAUUAGUUGAAACCAAGAGUUUGCUCAUAGCACGAAUUUAGGGUACAAACAUAAGCUGCAACACACAAAUAAACAUAGCUAUGAUGUUUAUAAUGAAAAUGGCAAAAGGACAGGGUCCUGAGAAAACGUCUUUGGUACUGGGGCGCACAAGCAGACAUCCUUUAAUAAUGGUGAUACAGGAUCACACAAUUACAAGGCGUAGAAAAUAAUAAGGCUCGUUACUACUCGAGUGACUUAGUCUACUCCGUUAAUAUCUAAGCGGGCUUGCCUAGUGGACGAUGAAGCUUCUCCACGGGUUUCACCGUCGGGAUUAGCCGGAUGAGGUUGCGUGGCUGCUGGGUCGGGGUAGCGAUGAUGACCAUCGCGGGGGUUGUUGGCCACAACCCCGUUGGAGUGUGUUCCCAAAAGGCAGCGAAGCACUUCUGGGGACAUCAAAGUAUUUUGGUCGAUGGCUGGGGCAGACCUCAAGGGCUCGAUUGGGUGUCCGAACAGCACGACUGGGUUGUCGGCGUCGGGCUCCACUUCUCCUCUCGCCGAGGCUCGGCGAAACAGUUCUCCACGAGCUGCGAUCAGAUCAAGAGUGAUUUGAUCGAACAGCUCCUCUAGUGCACUUACAUAGCGCACCAGAUGCAAUAGUGCAGGAUCUGUCUCAUGAUCUCCGUUGGCAACCUGGGGUGGCCUACCAUACCCGUUACGACUGGGGUAGUAGUAGAACGAGCGACAGUUAACUCUGGGCGACAAGUGCCGGAGUUGAACUAUAGCUUCUCGAGCUGCCAGUUGGAUGGCUUGUGGCUCAAAGGAAGUGGUCCUUCCAGUGAACCUGUAGGGGCGUUCUGGCGAUAGACCCCUACCAUAAAUGUGUACAGUGGCCCAGAACUGACGGCUCUCACCGCCCAUGAGUUCUUGGUACACAACAUAUUCUGGGGGCUCUCCUAAUGCAUAGGCACGGCGAGUGAGGUUUGCGAGCACGGUCACAAAACCUCCAAGGUUGGUUGAUGUGGUCUCAUUGUGAACAAUGGGGCCAGGCAUCGUGACUUGGCUUGGGAAAGAGGCUGUGCUGUGCUGGGUUGAGGCUAGCGUGCCCUUUUUAUAGAAAAAGGGGCGGAGUCUUCCUUCGCACGCUUGCGAAUGAGACAAGUUAGGUGUCGGUCACUGGCGCGUGAUCGACAGGCUAAGCUGAUAGGUUGGGCACCGACUGCCAAAAGCGUCGGGGUCACUGUGUGGCUAUCUUACACGAGAAGCUUGGCCGGGGUUAGGUUAAGGUCUGGUGGGUUGGUUAACCUAGGUUUAUUGCCCUGGCUAAGAUAGGGUUAGCCAAUGGUCAGCCUGGUUCUGAUACCAAGUCUGUCAGGACCGGAUUUUUGGGAUAUUAAUUCUCCAGAAAAUGGCCCUUGUGCUCACCAGCCCCAGGAUUACUGUUAGCUGAUGAGGCACCAACUUGAUACAAGAAAUUCCAAGCAAGUACAAAAUAUGUAGUACAAGACCAUUGUGGCCUAUGAGUACAACACUUGGUUUCUAGUGGUUGAUGGCGGAAGCGGUUUGGGGUUCAUCUGCGUCUAUGGGACUCCAUUUCCCACAAGAACAGCUGACCAGGAUAACUCCUAUCUUCGCGAGGCUGCUAUCACCUUUACAUGGGUUCCGGGGCUGUCGUCGUAACGCUCUUCUCCACGCAAGAAAUCUGGCCAAGACAAUAGCCAGGGACAAGCCAGUGAGUAUGUUUGAAUGUACUCGCAAACAUUUAGAACAUGGCUAUAAUAUAACAAGGGGUAAUCAUGCUCCGAAAAUAUUCUAUGACCAUAACGUUAGUCACGAGAUAAACAAAAUUCAUGAUGCACACAUGCAAGUUAUUCAUGUAAAAUGCAUUACGGGAGUAGACAUAGAAUGCAUCGAUCGAGUGUCUGAAGCGACGCCUCGAAAGGAAAAAAAUCAUGCCUCAGUCGGGCGUCUGAGCGACACCACAUAAAGGGCUUAUAAAUAAAAGAAAUAACAAGCAUGCCACAGUCGGGCGUCUAUGCGACACCACAUAAAGGGCUUAUAAAUAAAAGAAAUAACAAGCAUGCCACAGUCGGGCGUCUAUGCGACACCACAUAAAGGGCUUAUAAAUAAAAGAAAUAACAAGCAUGCCAAAGUCGGGCGUCUAAGCGACACCACAUAAAGGGGUUAUAAAGGAUAAUCACAGUGAAUAUCCAGGAGGUAGAACCGUCCCAGGGAUACUCAAUNNNNNNNNNNAUAGAAUGCACCGAUCGAGUGUCUGAAGUGACGCCUCGAAAGGAUAAAAAAAUAAAUUAUGCCACAGUCGGGCGUCUAUGCGACACCACAUAAAGGGCUUAUAAAUAAAAGAAAUAACAAGCAUGCCACAGUCGGGCGUCUAUGCGACACCACAUAAAGGGCUUAUAAAUAAAAGAAAUAACAAGCAUGCCACAGUCGGGCGUCUAUGCGACACCACAUAAAGGACUUAUAAAUAAAAGAAAUAACAAACGUGCCACAUUCGGGCGUCUGAGCGAAACCACAUAAAGGGCUUAUAAAUAAAAGAAAUAACGAGCAUGCCACAGUCGGGCGUCUAUGCGACACCACAUAAAGGGCUUAUAAAAGAAUAAUCGCAGNNNNNNNNNNAAAGAAAUAACAAGCAUGCCACAGUCGGGCGUCUAUGCGACACCACAUAAAGGGCUUAUAAAUAAAAGAAAUAACAAGCAUGCCACAGUCGGGCGUCUAUGCGACACCACAUAAAGGACUUAUAAAUAAAAGAAAUAACAAGCAUGCCACAGUCGGGCGUCUAUGCGACACCACAUAAAGGGCUUAUAAAGGAUAAUUAAAUAACAAGCAUGCCGCAGUCGGGCGUCUGAGCGACACCACAUAAAGGGCUUAUAAAGGAUAAUCACAGUGAAUAUCCAGGAGGUAGAACCGUCCCAGGGAUACUCAAUAAUUCAAAUAAUGCAAAUGGUUAGUCCAUAAUAAUAGUAAUCAUAAUCGUCACAUGUCACAAGUCAUAAUCCAAGUUCUGGUUUAACAGUUUUUCCUCCGAAGACCGACACUAAGACCGACACUUGACCCAUCCCAAACUGUAGUCCUUAACCAUGGACACGGCUAUUCGAAUAGAGGUAUAAUCUCUGCAGAGGGUGUACUCUUUACCCACGGGUAACGGAUUUCUUUAGUCCGUCGGCACUAAUUCCGUCUACGGUCUUUUAAUUGAAAACACGCCU